Molecule: long non-coding RNA, 772 nt
Organism: Sapajus apella (tufted capuchin)
Lineage: Eukaryota; Metazoa; Chordata; Mammalia; Primates; Cebidae
Exons: 2
Source: RefSeq, a predicted model, not a curated record
CUUCCAAAGUGCUGGGAUUACAAGUGUGAGUGACCAUGCCUGGCCAACCCACAGCUUUCAGAGCAUGCUGAUUUCAAUUGAUACUCUGAUACAACCUGACUGACUUGUGGAGAAAGCCUACCUACAAAUGAAGCUAGGAUUCCACAAAGAAGGUGGCGAGAAGAAAAAGGGCCAUUCUGCCAUCAAUAAGAUAGUGACCCGAGAAUACACUAUCGACGUUCAUAAGCACAUCCAUGGAGUGGGCUUCAAGAAGCAUGCCCCUCAGGCACUCAGACAGAUUCAGAAGUUUGCUAUGAAUGAGAUGGGAACUCCAGAUGUGCACGUUGAUACCAGGCUCAGCAAAGCUGUCUGGGCCAAAGAAAUAAGGAAUGUUCUAUACCUAAUCCAUUGUGUGAUUGUCCAUAAAACAUAAUGAGGAUGAAGAUUCACCAACUAAGCUCUAUACUUUGGUUACCUAUGUACCUGUUACCACUUUCAAAAAUCUACAGUCAAUGUCAAUGAGAACCACUGAUUGUCAAAUACAUCAAAUAAAGUUAUAAAAUUGCAAAAAAAAAAAAAAAAAAAAAGAAGCCAACACCAAAGAAAACAAAGGUAUCUGCAUGUGUAUGACAGAACAAGUGACAGAGUAACAGAAGUCGCACACAUGCUCAAAAAAUAGAGAUGCACACAGAGACCUGACAACAUCCUGUGCACCUAUAUCCAGCCAAAGCAUCCAGCAGAUUUAACUUAGGAUUUUUCAGAUACAUGAACCAAUAAAUUCCCUUUUUUAAGC